GGCGGACGGGUGAGUAAUGUCUGGGAAACUGCCUGAUGUAGGGGGAUAACUACUGGAAACGGUAGCUAAUACCGCAUAACGUCGCAAGACCAAAGAGGGGGACCUUCGGGCCUCUUGCCAUCGGAUGUGCCCAGAUGGGAUUAGCUUGUUGGUGGGGUAACGGCUCACCAAGGCGACGAUCCCUAGCUGGUCUGAGAGGAUGACCAGCCACACUGGAACUGAGACACGGUCCAGACUCCUACGGGAGGCAGCAGUGGGGAAUAUUGCACAAUGGGCGCAAGCCUGAUGCAGCCAUGCCGCGUGUAUGAAGAAGGCCUUCGGGUUGUAAAGUACUUUCAGCGGGGAGGAAGGGAGUAAAGUUAAUACCUUUGCUCAUUGACGUUACCCGCAGAAGAAGCACCGGCUAACUCCGUGCCAGCAGCCGCGGUAAUACGGAGGGUGCAAGCGUUAAUCGGAAUUACUGGGCGUAAAGCGCACGCAGGCGGUUUGUUAAGUCAGAUGUGAAAUCCCCGGGCUCAACCUGGGAACUGCAUCUGAUACUGGCAAGCUUGAGUCUCGUAGAGGGGGGUAGAAUUCCAGGUGUAGCGGUGAAAUGCGUAGAGAUCUGGAGGAAUACCGGUGGCGAAGGCGGCCCCCUGGACGAAGACUGACGCUCAGGUGCGAAAGCGUGGGGAGCAAACAGGAU
Molecule: ribosomal RNA, 685 nt
Filed under: Escherichia coli
Lineage: Bacteria; Pseudomonadati; Pseudomonadota; Gammaproteobacteria; Enterobacterales; Enterobacteriaceae
Description: bacterial SSU rRNA
Rfam family: Bacterial small subunit ribosomal RNA
Source: RNAcentral